GACGAACGCUGGCGGCGUGCCUAAUACAUGCCAGUUGAGCGCUGAAGGUUGGUACUUGUACCGACUGGAUGAGCAGCGAACGGGUGAGUAACGCGUGGGGAAUCUGCCUUUGAGCGGGGGACAACAUUUGGAAACGAAUGCUAAUACCGCAUAAAAACUUUAAACACAAGUUUUAAGAUUGAAAGAUGCAAUUGCAUCACUCAAAGAUGAUCUCGCGUUGUAUUAGCUAGGUGGCGAGGUAAAGGCUCACCAAGGCGAAGAUACCGAGCCGACCUGAGAGGGUGGUCGGCCACAUUGGGACUGAGACCAGGCCCAAAACUCCACGGGGAGGCACAAUAGGGAAACUUCGGGAAAUGGCGGAAGUCCUGCCGGGGCACGCCGCGGUGGUGGAGAAGGUUUUCGGGUCGUAAAACUCCGGUUGUAAGGGAGAACGUUGGUGGGAAGGGAAAGCUCAUCAAGUGACGGUAACUACCCAGAAAGGGACGGCUAACUACGUG
This 497-nucleotide ribosomal RNA is filed under the name uncultured bacterium. Its description in RNAcentral is "partial 16S ribosomal RNA". It matches the Rfam family "Bacterial small subunit ribosomal RNA", at positions 28 to 507 of the family's 1533-position model. The record is from RNAcentral.